GGUGAACCUGCGGAGGGAUCAUUACCGAGUUUACAACUCCCAAACCCAAUGUGAACCAUACCAAACUGUUGCCUCGGCGGGGUCACGCCCCGGGUGCGUCGCAGCCCCGGAACCAGGCGCCCGCCGGAGGGACCAACCAAACUCUUUUCUGUAGUCCCCUCGCGGACGUUAUUUCUUACAGCUCUGAGCAAAAAUUCAAAAUGAAUCAAAACUUUCAACAACGGAUCUCUUGGUUCUGGCAUCGAUGAAGAACGCAGCGAAAUGCGAUAAGUAAUGUGAAUUGCAGAAUUCAGUGAAUCAUCGAAUCUUUGAACGCACAUUGCGCCCGCCAGUAUUCUGGCGGGCAUGCCUGUCCGAGCGUCAUUUCAACCCUCGAACCCCUCCGGGGGGUCGGCGUUGGGGACCUCGGGAGCCCCUAAGACGGGAUCCCGGCCCCGAAAUACAGUGGCGGUCUCGCCGCAGCCUCUCCUGCGCAGUAGUUUGCACAACUCGCACCGGGAGCGCGGCGCGUCCACGUCCGUAAAACACCCAACUUUCUGAAAUGUUGACCUCGGAUCAGGUAGGAAUACCCGCUGAACUUAAGCAUAUCAAUAAGCGGAGGAA
This 603-nucleotide ribosomal RNA is filed under the name Trichoderma atroviride. RNAcentral's name for it is "eukaryotic LSU rRNA". The stretch from base 210 to 363 matches the Rfam family "5.8S ribosomal RNA". Lineage: Eukaryota; Fungi; Ascomycota; Sordariomycetes; Hypocreales; Hypocreaceae. The record is from RNAcentral.